RNAcentral lists this transfer RNA (71 nucleotides) under Cordylochernes scorpioides. RNAcentral describes it as "tRNA-Gly". The record is from RNAcentral. Lineage: Eukaryota; Metazoa; Arthropoda; Arachnida; Pseudoscorpiones; Chernetidae.
UGCAUCGGCCGGGAAUCGAACCCGGGCAGCCCACGUGGCAGGCGAGCAUGCUAUCACUGAGCCACCGAUGC